UGCGCAGGGCGUGUUUCAGCACGAUGUUGCCAAAGCUGACACCCUUGAGCCGCGCGGUUCGGAUGUAUUGCGUGGUCAUCACCUCGGUCAUCGACGCACGGGUCAUGCGGGCGAUGUACCCCAUGCCGUAGAGCGCGAUGGUCAGAACCGGCAGGGUGAAAUUCUCGAAGGUAAUAUCC
Molecule: non-coding RNA, 179 nt
Filed under: Pseudosulfitobacter pseudonitzschiae
Lineage: Bacteria; Pseudomonadati; Pseudomonadota; Alphaproteobacteria; Rhodobacterales; Roseobacteraceae
Description: Sulfitobacter pseudonitzschiae Ruegeria cis52 sRNA
Rfam family: Ruegeria cis52 sRNA
About the family: Cis-encoded. Targets oligo/dipeptide ABC transporter.
Source: Rfam by way of RNAcentral